GGAGCAAACAGGAUUAGAUACCCUGGUAGUCCACGCCCUAAACGAUGUCAACUAGGUGUUGGGAGGGUUAAACCUUUUAGUGCCGUAGCUAACGCGUGAAGUUGACCGCCUGGGGAGUACGGCCGCAAGGCUAAAACUCAAAGGAAUUGACGGGGACCCGCACAAGCGGUGGAUGAUGUGGAUUAAUUCGAUGCAACGCGAAAAACCUUACCUACCCUUGACAUGUCAGGAAUCCUGGAGAGAUCUGGGAGUGCUCGCAAGAGAACCUGAACACAGGUGCUGCAUGGCUGUCGUCAGCUCGUGUCGUGAGAUGUUGGGUUAAGUCCCGCAACGAGCGCAACCCUUGUCAUUAAUUGCCAUCAUUCAGUUGGGCACUUUAAUGAGACUGCCGGUGACAAACCGGAG
This 405-nucleotide ribosomal RNA is filed under the name uncultured bacterium. RNAcentral describes it as "bacterial SSU rRNA". It matches the Rfam family "Bacterial small subunit ribosomal RNA", at positions 765 to 1168 of the family's 1533-position model. The record is from RNAcentral.